RNAcentral lists this ribosomal RNA (518 nucleotides) under uncultured bacterium. Its description in RNAcentral is "bacterial SSU rRNA". It matches the Rfam family "Bacterial small subunit ribosomal RNA", at positions 355 to 888 of the family's 1533-position model. The record is from RNAcentral.
UGGGGAAUCUUGGACAAUGGGGGCAACCCUGAUCCAGCCAUGCCGCGUGAGUGAUGAAGGCCUUAGGGUCGUAAAGCUCUUUCGCCUGUGAAGAUAAUGACGGUAGCAGGUAAAGAAACCCCGGCUAACUCCGUGCCAGCAGCCGCGGUAAUACGGAGGGGGUUAGCGUUGUUCGGAAUUACUGGGCGUAAAGCGCACGUAGGCGGACCAGAAAGUUGGGGGUGAAAUCCCGGGGGCUCAACCCCGGAACUGCCUCCAAAACUAUUGGUCUAGAGUUCGAGAGAGGUGAGUGGAAUUCCAAGUGUAGAGGUGAAAUUCGUAGAUAUUUGGAGGAACACCAGUGGCGAAGGCGGCUCACUGGCUCGAUACUGACGCUGAGGUGCGAAAGUGUGGGGAGCAAAACAGGAUUAGAUACCCUGGUAGUCCACACCGUAAAACGAUGAAUGCCAGUCGUCGGGUAGCAUGCUAUUCGGUGACACACCUAACGGAUUAAGCAUUCCGCCUGGGGAGUACGGUCG